This 256-nucleotide ribosomal RNA is filed under the name Blastocystis sp. subtype 2. RNAcentral describes it as "partial 18S ribosomal RNA". It matches the Rfam family "Eukaryotic small subunit ribosomal RNA", at positions 732 to 974 of the family's 1831-position model. The record is from RNAcentral. Lineage: Eukaryota; Bigyra; Opalinata; Blastocystidae.
GGGGUAUUCAGUUAUUCUACUACUCCUUUGGUCGUUUACUGUGAGAAAAUUAGAGUGUUCAAAGCGGGCGUUUGUUUGAAUAGAUUAGCAUGGAAUAAUGAUUGAAGGCUUUCGUGUUCGAUUUGAUUGGUUUGUUCAUGGAAGCAAGGUUAAAAGGAACAGUUGGGGGUAUUCAUAUUCACUAGUUAGAGGUGAAAUUCUCGGAUUUAUGGAAGAUGAACAGGUGCGAAAGCAUUUACCAAGGAUGUUUUCAUUA